AUACGGAGGGAGCGAGCGUUAAUCGGAAUCAUUGGGCGUAAAGCGCGUGUAGGCGGCUUGGCAAGUCGGGUGUGAAAUCUCGGGGCUCAACCCCGGAACUGCACUCGAAACUGCCUCGCUAGAGUCCCGGAGAGGAAGGCGGAAUUCCCGGUGUAGAGGUGAAAUUCGUAGAUAUCGGGAGGAACACCAGUGGCGAAGGCGGCUUUCUGGACGGUGACUGACGCUGAGACGCGAAAGCGUGGGGAGCAAACAGGAUUAGAAACCCCAGUAGUCC
Molecule: ribosomal RNA, 274 nt
Filed under: uncultured bacterium
Lineage: Bacteria
Description: partial 16S ribosomal RNA
Rfam family: Bacterial small subunit ribosomal RNA
Source: RNAcentral